This 559-nucleotide long non-coding RNA is filed under the name Physcomitrium patens. Its description in RNAcentral is "long non-coding RNA (PPAT_LNC008131)". The record is from RNAcentral. Lineage: Eukaryota; Viridiplantae; Streptophyta; Bryopsida; Funariales; Funariaceae.
GAUAGCCUUCAUUCACCUUGCAAAAGGUUGCCGCCGGAUAUGCAUUGCAACGUUGAAAUUAUAACCCGCCCAGAUAAAAUAUGGAAAACUGUCAUUAAUGAACUUAACAAACGUGUCUUCAGGAAAAGGUGGACAGAUGAGUAAUAGCCAGCUGUUCAGCAAAGGAAACAUGUCGUGUUUAGAAUUAAACUUUCAGAGGUAAAACAGAAAAACACCAGUUCAUUCACAGUUAAGAGCAGAUUCAUACUGCUCUUCUCCACAAGGCACGCCAUGGAAACUCAAUCUUGAAACAGAAUCUGAACCCAAAUUGCAAAACCCCGGAGUGGUAACACCCACAUAGCAAAAACACUGCAUGACAACAUCUCUAAAUUCGCAUUCCAACCACUUCGCAUUGAGAACUGGAUUCGGAACUCCAAUUCUCACCUCCUACAGAACGAAAUCACGUCAUCUAUCACACAACAUCUGGAGGUGAACUAACCUGCAAUCAGGCGAGUUGAAAAAUCUAUUUCACAAUGCAGUUCCUUUGCGACAUGUUAACUCUACCGCAGGUUUCAAAUGA